AAAAUGCAAAAAAAAGAAUGAGAAAAAACCGUCAGGGGUUUGGCGGAUGAGGGCAACAGCCGCGCUGGUCCAAGUAGGCCAGGCAAGCGCGGCGGCCAGAGGCAACUGCCGCGGCAUAGGUCUCGGCAUCAAGGGGACAGCCGGUCUCGCACAGGUAGUGCAGACAUCGGAGGUGCCCGCCGGCCGCAGCCCGCAGAGCGAGACCCGCGUGCCACAGACAUCUUUUUUCGUCCCGACAGUAGCGCAAGAUGUCAAGGUGACCGCCGGCCGCAGCGGCCUCGAUGCAUGCGUGUCGAUCCCACCCGCACCGAACACCAUGCAGGUAGCGCAAUACAUCCACAUGGCCGUUGGCGGCGGCCGCCAGGCACGCCCUCUUGUCGCCCACGCAGCCAUUGUCGUAAAGGUAUUGGAUAGUGGCAAGAUGACCGGCGGCCGCCACAAUGGCCAUGGUCUUUGGCCCAGAACACAAUGGCCAGCCGUUGGUAUGGGCGUAGCGCAGCGCGUCGAGGUGACCACCAGUGGCGGCCGCACUGCAGACGGUCACGUCCCAACUGCGAUCAUGAUCGGGGUAAAGAGAGGCAAUCAAGCCCAGGACGUCGGCGCGGCCCUUGCUCGCGGCACGCCUGCAUGCUGACACGAACCAGGACGCGUGGAUCCCGCGACCCAUCACGUCGCGGAGGACGCCGAGAUCGGUCACUUUGGCGGUAUCGAUGCAUUGAUACCAUCCGAUCGACGACAACCCAUUCUCAUGGAGAAAGCGCACGCAUUCAACGUGCCCACCGGCAAAGGCGUACUGGUCGAGGUCCGGGUAAUAGGGGACGCCCCCGUCGUGGAGGAAGCGCAUGCAAUCAAUAUGGCCCUCGGACGCGGCGGCGCGCAUAGCAGAUUCACUCGGCAGACAGCCGCGCGACCACAGAAAGGUCACAGCGUCCAUGUGGCCGCGGGCAGCGGCUGCGGCAAGAGCCGUUGUGUCCCAUUUGAGACCGCGAUCAUGCAGAAAUUCGAGUACAUCAAUACGACCCGCAGACGCGGCCUUGGCGCAGAGAUCGUGACCGGUCCGAUCAUGUGGACAGCCCUGGUCCAGAGCGUAUCCGAGGCAGUCGAGACGGCCAUGCUCGGCGGCCUGGAGGCAGGUAUCGCGGUGCCAAUUGCAUCCCUGGCUGCGGGCAUAGACGAGGCAAUGCAGAUGACCCGCGCGCGCCGCAGCGGCACACGUCGCCGCGCCCCAGACUGGCCACCCUCGCGCGCGUGACGCAGACAACCAAGGUGGCCGGCAGCGGCAGCCGCCCUGCACCACGUGGACGUAUUGCGCAAGUCGACGCCCGACACGCAGGGUGCGCGCGGCAUCGCGCUGCGGUCGCCGAGUAUGGCCCUCCAUGUGCGACACACGGCCUUGGGCGCGCCGCUGGCCACGACGCAGGGCAGAAAGGAAAACACCAGGGCGAGCAACUCGUCAGGCAGGUCCUCCAUGAGGGUCUUUUUUUUCUCUCUUGUUCAAAAAAACCACCACCUGUACGCUCUUUGUUUUUUCGAUUUUUU
RNAcentral lists this long non-coding RNA (1539 nucleotides) under Pandoravirus celtis. RNAcentral describes it as "hypothetical ncRNA". The record is from RNAcentral.